RNAcentral lists this ribosomal RNA (474 nucleotides) under uncultured bacterium. RNAcentral's name for it is "bacterial SSU rRNA". It matches the Rfam family "Bacterial small subunit ribosomal RNA", at positions 33 to 507 of the family's 1533-position model. The record is from RNAcentral.
GACGCUGGCGGCGUGCUUAACACAUGCAAGUCGAACGAGAAUCUGUGGAAAGAGGAUUCGUCCAAUUGAAGCAGAGGACAGUGGCGGACGGGUGAGUAACGCGUGAGGAACCUGCCUUUCAGAGGGGGACAACAGUUGGAAACGACUGCUAAUACCGCAUAACAUAUAGAUGUCGCAUGGCAUUUAUAUCAAAGAUUUAUCGCUGAAAGAUGGCCUCGCGUCUGAUUAGCUAGUCGGUGAGGUAACGGCCCACCAAGGCGACGAUCAGUAGCCGGACUGAGAGGUUGAACGGCCACAUUGGGACUGAGACACGGCCCAGACUCCUACGGGAGGCAGCAGUGGGGAAUAUUGCACAAUGGGGGAAACCCUGAUGCAGCGACGCCGCGUGGAGGAAGAAGGUCUUCGGAUUGUAAACUCCUGUUGUUGAGGAAGAUAAUGACGGUACUCAACAAGGAAGUGACGGCUAACUACGUG